Non-coding RNA from Cerrena zonata, 71 nucleotides. The record is from the annotation of a GenBank genome assembly. NCBI's taxonomy places the organism in Eukaryota, Fungi, Basidiomycota, Agaricomycetes, Polyporales, Cerrenaceae.
GAGAAUGUCGUCUAAUGGUAGGAUAAUUGCCUUUUAAGCAAUCUAUAUUGGUUCGAAUCCAAUCAUUCUCA